Long non-coding RNA from Solanum dulcamara, 1734 nucleotides. RefSeq lists it as uncharacterized. The record is from RefSeq and is a predicted model, not a curated record. The transcript is spliced from 3 exons. NCBI's taxonomy places the organism in Eukaryota, Viridiplantae, Streptophyta, Magnoliopsida, Solanales, Solanaceae.
GCCUAUAAAUAGAUGGCUAGCUAGGUCGCCUCUCAUCUCCUUAACCUUAUGGAAACCACUCCAUUCGACUGCUAGUUGCAGGAGAAGCAAUGAGAGGAAGACCUAGUUGAAUGUUCCACAUGUCUGAAACACGCUUUUGCAUUGAUAAACAAGAUGACUUAACAGACAUGCAGACAAGAGAGUCAUUUGUGCAGCAAAAAUUCUGACCAAAGGUGGAAAGAAGACAUUCCGUUCACUUGAAAUAUCAGAUCAUCGAAAGUGAGCAAGUUGAUCAUGCACAAGAAAUUUGCAGAAGGAAAUGGUGCCCAGUAUAAAAUGACCAAAGAAGCAGCAGUCCACUUGUAUAAUGGAAAAUGAGAAUGUGUCAGCGACAAUGGGGGCGAUGUCCGUUUGAGGCGAAAUCAUUUUUGGAACUUCAGCUUCGAGCUCAUUUAACUGUGAAAACGAUCCGUGAGUAAAAUAUGAGGAGGGAUGGCGUCUGUGCGUUCAUUGGCCUUUUUUCCGGAAGAUUGUUAAUGUAAGGUAAACUAUUUCAAGCGUCAAUUACCAUUGCGAAUAAGUUUUCAAUUUAUGUAUAUAAAUAUUCAUGAUAUUUCAUUUUUUUUUGUAAGUCACAUUUCUUGAAAAACCCGAUUAGUAUAUUUUAUUGUAUUCUAGCAUGCUGGGUAAGAAGCAUCAGGAUGCUAGAAAAUUGCAAAAGUGAAAAUAGAAAAUAAAGUAGUGUGCCACAUUCUGUAGACGUCGUUUGGGCUUAUAUAAAAAACCAUUGAAGCUUUUAGAGAAUGUGACAUCGACCUUGGAAUAGUUCUUUUUCACCGAUUGGUAAACCAUUUUCGUUUGUUCAUCCAACUAAGGCGUUAUCGAUUAUUUAUGAAUUCUGUAAUAGAAUUAAGAGUAGAUACGAAACUUGUUGCUACCCAAAGACUUAACGAUGUGAACUCUGAAAUGAAAAUUAGACUUGAUGAAGUGUUCAUCGUCUUACAUUGUUAUGUGUUUGUGCAACAAUAAGUUGUGUACCUUCACUUAAUUCUACUGCAGAAUUCAUUAAACGAUCGAUGGCCACAUUAGUAGUUCAUGAACAAAACGCAAACGGUUUACCAUUCGAUGAAGAAACAACUACUCCAAGACCGACGUUCCAUGCAUUCUUUAACAAGUUCACUAGCUUUCUCAUAUACGCCCAAAUGACAUCUAGAGAGUGCGGCACACGGAUCACCCUUUUUUCUUCUUUCUAUUUUCACUUUUACAAUUUUUUGGUGUCUUGUUGCUUUAUUACACUCCAUGCUAGAAUACAAUAAAAAUAUAUAAUAUAUUGAUCAAUUAAUUUCAAGAAAUGUGACUUACAAAAAAAUGAAAUAUCAUGAGUAUUUAAAUACCUAAAUUGAAAACUUAUUGACAAUGGCAAUUGAAUCUUGAAACAUUUUACCUUACAUUAACUACCUUACGGAAAAAGGCCGAAGUCUAAUUUUCAUUUCAGAGUUCAUAUUUCUUAGCCCUUCUCCUAUGCUUUUGAGCACAUGUCGAAUCAUAUUCAAAAUCUUUUCCAUGUCGAUCUCCAUGUAAAUAAGCCCAUAGUACGGACGGCUUAAGCACAAGAGUGGCCUAAAGCCAAAAAUGAAUCCAAGGCCUUAAAUUUUUAAUUUUAUUAGUCAAAGUCUAUUCUUCCCGUUUUUUAAAAUGUAAAGUUGUUAAUAUAUUUGAAACUAUUUUUGAGAUGCAAAAUUGUUUUUUUAAAUG